CAAUACUUCCGCCGGCGACCGGCGCACGGGUGAGUAACACGUAUGGAACCUGCCCGUAGCAGGGGGAUAAGCGGAAGAAAUUCCGUCUAAUACCGCGUAAUAACUCCGAGAGGCAUCUCAUGGAGUUUAAAGGGUAACACCGGCUACGGAUGGCCAUGCGGCGCAUUAGCUAGUUGGCGGGGUAACGGCCCACCAAGGCGACGAUGCGUAGGGGUUCUGAGAGGAAGGUCCCCCACACUGGUACUGAGACACGGACCAGACUCCUACGGGAGGCAGCAGUGAGGAAUAUUGGUCAAUGGGCGCGAGCCUGAACCAGCCAAAUCGCGUGAGGGAAGACGGUCCUAUGGAUUGUAAACCUCUUUUGUCGGGGAGCAAAAGACGCCACGUGUGGCGUUCCGAGAGUACCCGAAGAAAAAGCAUCGGCUAACUCCGUGCCAGCAGCCGCGGUAAUACGGAGGAUGCGAGCGUUAUCCGGAUUUA
This 480-nucleotide ribosomal RNA is filed under the name uncultured bacterium. RNAcentral describes it as "bacterial SSU rRNA". It matches the Rfam family "Bacterial small subunit ribosomal RNA", at positions 77 to 553 of the family's 1533-position model. The record is from RNAcentral.